AUUAACGCUGGCGGCGUGCAUAACACAUGCAAGUCGCACGAUGAAACUUAACUGAUUUCUUCGGAAUGAUUUUAAGUGGAUUAGUGGCGGACGGGUGAGUAACGCGUGAGUAACCUGCCUUGGAGAAGGGGAUAGCCUUUGGAAACGAAGAAUAAUACCCUAUGAUAUGAUAAUAUCUCAUGAUAUUAUCAUCAAAGAUUUAUCGCUCUAAGAUGGACUUGCGUCUGAUUAGUUAGUUGGUGAGGUAACAGCUCACCAAGGCAGCGAUCAGUAGCCGGCUUGAGAGAGUGUACGGCCACAUUGGGACUGAGACACGGCCCAGACUCCUACGGGAGGCAGCAGUGGGGAAUUUUGCACAAUGGGGGAAACCCUGAUGCAGCGACGCCGCGUGAUUUAGAAGGCCUUCGGGUUGUAAAAAUCUUUUGUAUGGGAAGAAAAUGACAGUACCAUACGAAUAAGGACCGGCUAAUUACGUG
RNAcentral lists this ribosomal RNA (476 nucleotides) under uncultured bacterium. Its description in RNAcentral is "partial 16S ribosomal RNA". It matches the Rfam family "Bacterial small subunit ribosomal RNA", at positions 29 to 507 of the family's 1533-position model. The record is from RNAcentral.